AGCCCUGUGCACUUUGGACAGUCAUUGUCUUAGAUGAGAUUUGGAAAUCAAAAAGCAUUUCCUGGGGGAGAGGGGAAGGCAAGAGGGGAGUAAAAUGAUCAAAAUGCAGUAUUUGUAUGUACAAUUGCCCAGGAGGAAUGUAAUUAUUAUAUAUCAAAAAUAUAUAAUACUACGAAUAAAAUAAAAACAAAACAAAAAGUCUUUCCCAAAGGCACGGAGACUGGUUAUAGGGAAAAACUGGGUGAAGGGGAGUAAUGAAGCCCCUUCCUUGGGUUAGCUAGCUCUGUCUCCCACACCCAACAGAAAUGAUCCCACAGGACUUCCUCAUAAUGCACUCCCACAUCAAGAAGUGUUAACCCCAGAGGAAGCGACUUUCCUCCGGUCGGGUUGGGGUCGGUCGAGGGGGAAAGGGUUCCUAAAAAGAUGAGGGAAAACAGCCCAGAGAGUCUUACAGAUGAAGUUUAAGGCCCAAAUUACCUCUAUCUUCACUCUCUUCCCUGUGGCCAUUUAUCCAGGCAAUUAUUUCUAUUCAUGCCCUCCUUAUUUCUCUUUCUUUGGCAAAACUCCAGAAAUGAAAUCUCUGCUUCUCCUUGGGGGUUUUUCAUUCCUCCAGGGAUCCCUGUAGAUGAGACCACUUUUCAUGAAGACAGUUUCUGCCAACCCCAGCCACCAGCCAUGGUGUGGGGCCCAGAACUCUCUUCUGAGAGGUCUCCAAUCCCAUUCCUCUGGACUACAUUUUAAAGAAAGGGGAGCACUCUCUCUUACAUCAAGAAGUGACCCUAGGGCCGGGGGAUUUAGCUCAGUGGUUCUGCCGCUUGCCUCCAAGUUCAAGGACCUGAGUUUGAGCCCCAGUACGGAAAAAAAAAAAAAAAAGAAGUGACCCUAAAUUGAAGUCCUAGAAAGCUGGCCCAGGAUCUUGUUGCCUCUGGGCAGACCUGGCUCAAGAAAGAGAGGGAAGGGCGGGGGAAUUUAGCUCAGUGGCAACAAGGCUGCCUUUCAAGAACUAGGUCCUGAGUUAGAUCCCCACCCCCAUACCAAAAAAAAGGCAGGGGGGUGGUGGGAGGGGGGACAGCAGCAAAGACUUGUGCCCCUCUUUUUGUAAGGCGAGGCAAUCCAGGGUAAUCAGUUUACCCUCUGCCCUACCCCCACCACUCACAAGGAAUCUUCUCUGUCUCAGGACUAUUAAAUGGAGAUGGGGGAGAAUUGAAGACGCCCCUUUCCAAAGGCCCACUGAUUCCUCCCACAGCCUAGGAGUCCAAAUGGGGCUUGAAAGGAGGAGGCCAGUUACUUUACAGCAGAAGGAAACUGUAUACCCUCCUUAGUGGCUUACCUGGCUACAUGGCCUAGCUUUUAGGAGCAGAAUAGGGCACUGACUAGGAACCUAGGCAGGGUACGCAGGCUCCUUUGUUUAAGUAAAGCCAUUGGUGAGAAGAUGGGAGAGGAACACCUGCUCACCCUCUGCUGCAGCUCAAAGCAAAACAACCCAGGAAGUGACCCAUAUUCCUCCCUCUUUCUUUCCUCAUUGUUCUUAAAGGAAGGAAGAUACUCCUUUCCUUCAGAAUGAAACUUUUCUCUUGGAAGAAAAAAGUUCCUGUUCUCAAGCUGAAGGAUGUGUUAAUUUUGAAAAACAGAGUAAUGGAGUUCCCAUUCCCUCUCCCACUACAGUCCCAACUCUUUCAGUCUUUGCAUAAAAUCCACUCCAGUGUUCCUUCCUUCCGGAAAUACAAGUCACGGGCCUGCCAGGGAGAUGAGUUAUCGAGUAUGGUGGUGACUCACAAAGGUAGAAGAAAGAGCUAAAAAGUUCUUUCUUUUCCAGUUAGUUCAGGUGUCUCAGAGAAUCCCCCCCCCCUUAGGAUGGGCCUCCUACCCCCUCCCUCAGGGCCAGCAGGGGAAGGGGCAGGGUUGGCUUUCCCUUUCAUCCUGCCCUAGCUGAGGCUGGAGACAAGAUUCUUCCCAGGUUUACCCAAUUUGCCCAAAACAGAGCUGACUAUUCUGAGGGAUAAAGUCCUGGCUUUUGUUACUGGGCAGCAUUGGAUUGCCCAAUUAUUGCGUCCCAGAAAGAAGUCUUCAAGUGGGACUUUUAAUACAGGAACCCAUAUGUAUAGAGGGGAUCAGAUGAUUUGUCAGGCAACUUUAAACAAGUCAUCUCCAAACUUGGUCAUUCUCCAAUAUUGAGACUGAACUUCGAAAUCAUCGGGGCUUUCCAGAAGGGUUUAGAAAAAAGAAGUCGGGUGAGGCCUGUCAAACCAGGUGUGUCAUGGAGAUGAGGACAGGCAAAGACAGGUGAGCUGGGAGCCCUUCUGUGCAGUGUCUCGGCAGCAUCACCUCAAAGGUCGUCAGAAAUUGGGGAGCAGUGUGCCCACGCGAGCUGGGGCAGAGGGCUGGAAGUCCCGUGAGAGGAGAAAACCCUGGUGAGGAAGGAGCUGGCUAGGACUGCGCUGGGGAGGAGUUUGGUCAGACCUGAAAACCGCCCCAGCGGGGAAAGCGGCUACAAGCGCAGCGCCGCUGGGAGCCUGGGCGCUGGGUGAGCUCUCUGCUGGGAAGAGUGGGCCGUCGGACUUACUGAAACGCUAGCGGAUCAAGUUCCAGAUCAAUGAAAUCUGGGUCUACACGUUUACGUUAUUGUUGCCAGCAUUAAUGCUCUUUUAAUCUUCUAAACAUUAUCAGCAUCGAUCUCCCUCCAUAUACACAUUUGUUUGAGAAAGUGACAGAACCACAGUGGAAAGGCUGGAAUAAAAAUAAAUGUGUGGCCUCUAGAGUGGAGGGCGCCCAGCAUCCUGGUAUGUUUCUCACCUUGGCUCCCUCCCUUCCUCUUGUCCCUCCUAGGCCGCCCACUCCCAUCCACCCAAACACUUGUUAGGAAGACAUUCUCCCGCCUGCACCACACUGCACCGCACCGCACCGCACCACACCGGGACCUGACCAAGCAAGGAAGGUAGCAGGCUUUUCAAUUAUUAAUCCGGCAUACAUAUCAUGUCGUCUGUUCCUUACAGCGAGGGUUGCCUUAGGCCUCUCCAGCCGAGAUCCCGGACUAAACAGCAGGGAGAGGGCUGGGCCCGGUGCCUGAAAAGCAAGAGAUGGGUGGGGAUGGGGGGUGUGCUACAAAGGAAGUCCCCUAAUUUAUCUCUUGGCUUUGGAGACAGCGGGGGGCCCAACCUAGCCAAGGACAUCCCCAGCGCAGCAGGGAGCAGGCAUGAAUGCAGUGCCCCUGCCCGGAGCUACAGCACACUGCCCAGGCUGGCCAAGCUCCACAGAGGCAGGCGGCAGGUGGGACAUCUUGGAUUAGUUCAGGGCCUUCAGCGUCUGGAGUAGACUGGCAGCCUGGCCCUGAGACCUACUUCCUCCAGAAAGCUGCAGGUCUGUCAGCGGUGGAGAUGGAAAGCCGGCUCCAAGCAGGCCACCAGCGAGUUAGGGCCUCACGGGAGGGGAGUGGAAACCCAGCAGUGAGUGUGGGGGCUUCAUGGGGCACACCUUUAGGUUCUUGCUUGGAUUCACUGGGUUCCUCCUUGCUCUCAUUUGUGCUUAGUGCAGAGACCUCUCAGGCUCAAAGCUGGACUUGUCUGCUUGAAUCUGCAGGACUCUGUUCUUGCCGCCUCUUGCCAGGCUAAUAAAAACCUGUCUCACCUUGGGAACCCCAGAAGUCCCAAUGGGUGGGCUUCCAAAUAACGGCUGCCCUGGCUGCUUUUUCUGAAGGAAAUUAUGCAUUUGGGGUUCAUUUCUCAGAAAUCUGGUGUCAGAACUCUGAGUUUCCCCAGUCUUCUCCCUCCCCUUUAAAGUGCCACUCCGGGCUUGGCUAGCCUGAAGCAGUGGGAUACAACUGGAAACGCAGGACAGGAGACACCUGCCUUGGUACUGUUGGAAGUAAGGUGCUUGGUCGAAGGGUAGGAUUUGACAGCACUGGCCGAAUCAGACUUCUGACUCCGAGGCCCCUCAAUCCCUGUCUGCUGGGAACUCUAGCAGGACCCAGAGGAACCCAAAGUGAGAAAAAGGAAAGGAAGUAAAAGGAAAGACAGGUCUGAGCAAAAUGGGGGCUGGGCAGGUACUGGGCUGGGCCCUGGUGGCUGCCGGUAGGGAUUUCGAUGCAUAGCCCUGGAGGAAAAGGCCUCUGCCUUUCUUCUCCAUUUGCUCCUGUACCUUAGUCCUCCUGAGCACACAAUACCUACUUACCAGUCAAGUUUCUGCGUCACUUUCUGAAGAGACUGAUCUACUGACCCCAAACUGAAAAGCCUUCUGUGUAAUAAUAACCACUCAACACACUUGUAGUUGCUGAUAAAAUGGCCAGAUAAAAAGGCUAAAGCUCUUGUCCCUUUUCAACCCAGGGUAAUAAAACAGACACACAUUUGAAUGCUUGAGCAAAGCGGAGUCCUCAGCCGCUAAUUGUCUGCUCCCGGAGGAGGCGUUUUGCCUCCUCCAGAAAAGCCUGGCAUGUGGGCAAUGCUUUUGGACGCCUGCCCUGUGGAGUUGCCUCUAGAACUCUCUGGAUGCUACAUGCUUCAUCACCCACCCCACCAAUGCUCAAGGUCAUUGUGCAACCUAAUAGUAAACAAUCACUUUCCACAUUGCUUUUGGACUUAUACAGGCAGAAGGCACAUGUUUUCAAAAGCUAUGUCCUUUGCGCCUUUGCGUGACAGGCAUGAGGGGGCGGCAGCGCCUGAGAGAUCGGGUGGAGUAGAAUAGCUGUCAUUCUGCUUUUAACUGUACCCCCCAGAGCAGCCGCUGCAAGUUCUUUCUGGCUCCUGUGUGCGCAGUGGAAAACCAGCCAGCGGGGCUGGAGCUGGCCUAAAAGGCCUGUGGCAGUUGGGGGGGGUUUCUAAAACAAAGAGGAGCAGUACUACAUUGAAUUGUCAGUGUCAGCCUAUUUCACUUCCAUACUCUCUCCUCAGUUGGCUUUAUCUUGCCAGGAACCAAGAACAAAUCUGUGACGACCGUAGGAGAGAUGAAGACAGAGAGAGAGAGAGAGAGAGAGAGAGAGAGAGAGAGAGAGAGAGAGAGAGAGACAGAGAGAGAGAGACAGAGAGAGAGAGAGCGAGAGCGAGCGCAGGAGACUUCUAAAUCAACUUAAAAGUAUUGGCAGCCACAGAUUUGGGAAAGGUCUUUGGCAGAAAGAUGGUCUUCACCUUCUUCAAUCACUGAGGGGUGCUUACUGAGUGGAGAUCAAAAUCCCUCAACAGUGGGCCAAGGAGAAAGGCUGUCAGAACGGAAACGCCCCCUCACAAAGUUAGAGUGCAUAUGCUGUCUGUCAUAUCCCACAGCCCUGUGCGGGUUCAGCGAGGCAAGAAAAGCUCCGGGGAGCAGAGUGGAAGCCUGGAGCCUGAGCUCGCAGCCUGGAAGCGCUUGGUGUGCUUCUGGUUUGCAAAAGACCUUUGGGCUACGUAAAUCAAUGCCACUGUGAAUUGUUCUUUCCCAGCACAGCCAGUACUGAACCAGCCCCCUACACACACACACACACACACACACACACACACACACACACACACACACACACACACACGGUGAGGGAAGCCUUCUAUCCCGGCUUGCAGUAAGAUAUUGUGUGUCCUCCUCAGUUGGGGAUCUGGACACUUUGGACCCACCUCUGGGUCCGUGGCUCAGUACCGGGGGCAGAGCAGUAGCCAUGCGCGCAGAGCGCACACUAUGUACCAGUCGAAGCUACUGCCGCGUCUUUAGCCCUUGCUCUUGCACCCGCCGCCCACAGGGGAGGUUUCUGUGCUCCUAGAACAAUAGAGGGUUGUACCUCGCAGCUUGGCUGCCAGAGGAGGCACAAAGAGCCGAGCCCGCUGCAGAACAAUGUAACCGGCGCGUCGACCCGUCCCCUCCCGUGGGCAGCCAGCCCUCCCUGCCACCCGGCUAAGCGCACACAAUCAACGCCCGCUUAAUGCAAAGCAGUGGAGCUUGCAGCCUACAGCUGAGGUGUAUUAACUAACCUGCAUCUUAAUUUCUGAGCUCUUAGCCUCUGCCAGACUCCCCUCUCACCCCAGCAAAUCCCAGUCAACACUAGAAGGCAAGGGCGGCUGGCGCGUGAGGCAGUAUGCUUUCCUGCUAUCUCCCUCCCUCUCCUCUCUCGUCCUCCCAAAGCGGUGAAUAUGAAUCUACCAACCUUCCUCCUUGCAUCCUCCCCUUGCUGUAGAUACUGAGAACGGAGCUGGCCAAAGCCAGCUGUUCUAGUCAAGACAAAUCAGAAAGUCCCUGCGCCAACACCAAGGCAGAUGGGCUUUGGGAGUGGUGCUGUAUCCUGGCCGCUAGUUCCCCAGCCGGCGGCAAGGCUAUGCCUCCUGCCAACAGCCAAAGAAUUUUGCCCGAUAUGAAGGGUAGGAGGCGGGCGGAGAGAGCGCUUUUUCUCUCCCAAGAAGCAAAGCUCCUCAACUGCCUCUUAGACACUAGGAAGCUUAGAAAACUGAAAUGUGUUGUCUCAGAGUUCAAGUGCAGAAGGUUUAGAGCCAUUCCCGGUUUUUGAUGCGUCCGAUUGCGCGCCCCCAUCCCGUGUCGCACUGCUAGGGAAAAGUCAAAAAUCGAGGGCAAAGGUUGGCACGCGGGGAGGAAGGUGAACGAAAUCAGGGGAUGGCCAUAAAUGAAAGCUCAAGGACUAGAACAGAGGAAAGAACAGGAGGAAAAGUGGGGGGAAAAAGAAAGAAAAGGGAAAAGAGAAGGAAAGAAAAUGUAAGAAAAACAAAGAUGCAAAGAAAGAGGAAAUGUGUAGGGAAGAGGAAAAGAGAACCCAGAGAAGUGACUGGGAGCGCUGACUCGGGCCCUACAAGCGGGGGGGGGGGGUGGGGGGUGGGGGGGAGCCUAUCCCCUGCCUGGCUCUUAGCUGCACCCUGGGCUUACCUGCCAGGCGUAAGGCAGACAUGCGCUGGAACUCGGGCUCCUGCAGCCACUUCCACAUCCUGCGGAAGGUCUCCUACCAGAUUUGAGUUUACUCCACGGUUUUGGAUUCCGGAGCAGGUCGGAGAGAGUCCCCUGAGACCGGCAUAGCACCCUCUGAGCGAAGAUCGCCUGUGGGAUGCUGUAGCGCUUCAGCUCUGCGGUGAUGCGCUGGGCAACCUCUUUGGUGUUGAUCUCCUCCAACUGGCCCGACGUGGCUACCUGCGAACCCGACGAGGACGACGGGGGCCGCUCGCGGCUGGGGGCCAGCACUGGCCCGUGGGACUGAGGGUGGCUCGGGUGGUGCAGGCCAUUGAGGUGGGACAUCAUGGCAGCGGGCGGGGAGCCGAGGCCCUGGGACAGGUGUUGCUCACCUCGGGUCAGCAUGGCAGUGUGGUGCGCGUCGAAGUUGGGGCUGAGCAUUUUGUCGUGGCCCGGGGACCGUAGUUGGGCAGGCUCUGCUGCGCAUUGUGGAGGCCGCCUAGCCCGUUGCCCAGCGGAGUGGCAGCCAGCGGGGACAGGCUCUGGCUCAUGCCGGGCAUCUCCUUGUAGGGGCUGUAAAGGUUGUUCAUGGCCGGGAGCCCGCGCUCAUCGCGCAUGAGGGUGAAGCUGCCGCUGACGUUGCCCGACAGACGCUGGUGGUGGUGGUGGUGGUGGUGGUGAGGGUGGUGGUGAGGGUGCGGGUGGUGGAACUUGUCCGAGACGGUGGAGAUGGGUGGCAGCGGCUGGAGCGGCGUCAGCGUGGUGUAAGUGUUGCUCAUGCCCAUGCCGGGCGGCGACGAGUCGCAGGACAUGCUCAUGGCGUGGUGCAGCGGGAUGGAGAGCCUCGGGCCGGUAGUCGCUGCCAUCCAGGAUCGAGGCCAUGCUGGUGACCAUGGCCGAGCGCGACGCCGCCGCCGCCGCCGCCGCCGCGGUGCCCAGCUUCCUGGUGCGCCGUGGGCGGCGGCGGCGGGCCACGCAGCGAGCUGGCGGCGCCGCGGCCCGCGUGGUGGGGGCUGGGGCUGGCCAGCAGCUCCUGUUCAUGGCCGGGGCCCCCGCCGCCGCCCCCGCCGCCCCCGCCGCCACCCCCGCCGCUGCCGCCGCCGGCCGGCCCGUGCAAAGUGCCCAGACUUUCCAUUGUCAGCUCCGGGUUCAUGGCGCAGCCUUCUAGGUCUUUGGUGAGGCAUCGAUAGGCGGUGUAGGCAGCCUUCAUUCAGUCCAUCGGGGCCCGGGGGCGGCGGGGGCGGCGGGGGCGGCCGGUGGGCUGGCGAGGGGCGCGUGGUGGGGCCUGGCCGCGGGCGCGGGGCGGGCGCGGGUGCGAGGGAGUGUGUGCAGGGGGAGCGUGCGUGCGGGUGUGUGCCCCGGGCUGCGGGCGGGCAGGCGCGCCCGGGGUGGGGGCGGGGGUGGGGGGCAGACGGGGCGUGCGUGCGGGGAGGGGGGCGGGGAGGGAGGAAGGGAUCACCGGGCCCCGCCGCUCUGGCCAGCGCGCUGCCUCGCCAUGUCCGAGCCCGCUCCGGCGCCGACGUCUUCUGUUUGGGUUAGCGGGAGCUGUCCAGAGGGCUCUGGGCUCGCUGGGGCAGCCAACCUACCCUCCCGGACCC
Molecule: long non-coding RNA, 8441 nt
Filed under: Heterocephalus glaber (naked mole-rat)
Lineage: Eukaryota; Metazoa; Chordata; Mammalia; Rodentia; Bathyergidae
Description: lncRNA (ENSHGLG00000040148.1)
Source: RNAcentral